GAUGAACGCUAGCGGCAGGCUUAACACAUGCAAGUCGAGGGGUAACAGAGGUAGCUUGCUACUUGCUGACGACCGGCGCACGGGUGCGUAACGCGUAUACAAUCUACCUUUUACAGAGGGAUAGCCUUUAGAAAUGAAGAUUAAUACCUCAUAGUAUUAUAAGUAUGCAUAUACAUAUAAUUAAAGUUUCGGCGGUAAAAGAUGAGUAUGCGUCCUAUUAGCUAGAUGGUGUGGUAACGGCACACCAUGGCAACGAUAGGUAGGGGCCCUGAGAGGGGGAUCCCCCACACUGGUACUGAGACACGGACCAG
This 311-nucleotide ribosomal RNA is filed under the name uncultured bacterium. Its description in RNAcentral is "bacterial SSU rRNA". It matches the Rfam family "Bacterial small subunit ribosomal RNA", at positions 28 to 334 of the family's 1533-position model. The record is from RNAcentral.